AUGUACUUUAUUUUCCAGCAGGCUGUUGAUGAGCAGGGUAUCCCAGGGAUGGAGCGAGUGGAUAGCAUGGCAGAGUAUUUGGUGGGGCUUAGGACUGUAACUGGCCAAACACUGAGCAAUCAGCAGGCCAGCACAAUUAUAGCCCUUUGGCAGAACCUCCUGCCAUAUGACCAGCAGAGGGUGGUGUAUGCUGCACGGCACCAGGUGCGUCUGACCACAGGACGCUUCAGGGUUUCAAAAAAGAGAGCUGAAUUUACUCCAGGUGUGGAGAGCAUGACGCGUUGCUUUUUGGCGUCUUCGGGGUCCCCCGCCCAGUGGCCAGGCUGCAGUCGUCUUGUAGAGUCCAUCUGUGUCAAGCUGUGUAACAUUCACAAGAGCCCCAAAAAACAGGGCAGUUACGCUCUGACAAGAUGGACUCUGAUUGUCACUGACUACGGGAAGAUCAGGCAGCUGGUCCUGGGUAAUGCCACUGUCAUGCAAAGCACUGCUCUGCAAUUGUUUGACAUAAAUCAAACAACGCUGGUGCAGUGGCACAACAGGAGACUGAAGAGGCAGGACAGCAGUAUUCUUCUUCAAGGGGUAAACUUGCCUGCCGCUAUUCCGGUUGCUCCUGCUCCUCUCCCACCUGUACAGAUGCGCCCCACAGCUGCACCCCCACACCCUGGACCCCAUCUUCAGUACCACUUGCCCCAAAGUACAGCAGGACAGGCAGUGGUCAGGAGGAAGUCUGCAACUCAGAGGCAGUUGUUCCCUCAGCCGGCACCUACACCUAGCACCACAGCACAAACACCUGGAGUCCAACAGAUCGCUCCUUCUGGCCCACUGCCUUCCCCACCACCUGUCCGCAGGACUUACACCCGGACAGUGGCUCAAAAUAAAUGCAGUCGGUGCCAGCAGCCCCGCAACACAGACACUGGUCACCGACAGUAUUAUGGGCACAUAUACUGUCCCCAAAAAAACACCAUGCCAGUGGAGCAAUGGAUGGAGGAGAUGCGGAGAAAAAGGGCAGAAAAAAAAUAG
This 1020-nucleotide long non-coding RNA is filed under the name Sparus aurata (gilthead seabream). RNAcentral's name for it is "lncRNA (ENSSAUG00010023207.1)". The record is from RNAcentral. Lineage: Eukaryota; Metazoa; Chordata; Actinopteri; Spariformes; Sparidae.